UACAGAGGGUGCAAACGUUGUUCGGAAUUACUGGGCGUAAAGCGUGUGUAGGCGGCCUCGUAGGUCGGAUGUGAAAGCCCUCGGCUCAACCGGGGAAGUGCAUUCGAAACCACGAGGCUAGAGUGCCGUAGAGGAAGGCGGAAUUGUCGGUGUAGAGGUGAAAUUCGUAGAUAUCGACAGGAACACCUGCGGCGAAAGCGGCCUUCUGGACGGACACUGACGCUGAGACACGAAAGCGUGGGGAGCAAACAGG
RNAcentral lists this ribosomal RNA (253 nucleotides) under uncultured bacterium. Its description in RNAcentral is "partial 16S ribosomal RNA". It matches the Rfam family "Bacterial small subunit ribosomal RNA", at positions 524 to 776 of the family's 1533-position model. The record is from RNAcentral.